GACGAACGCUGGCGGCGUGCUUAACACAUGCAAGUCGAACGGUAAGGCCCUUCGGGGUACACGAGUGGCGAACGGGUGAGUAACACGUGGGUGAUCUGCCCUGCACUUUGGGAUAAGACUGGGAAACUGGGUCUAAUACCGACUACACCCUGCUGGUCGCAUGGCCUGGUGGGGGAAAGCUUUUGCGGUGUGGGAUGGGCCCGCGGCCUAUCAGCUUGUCGGUGGGGUGAUGGCCUACCAAGGCGACGACGGGUAGCCGGCCUGAGAGGGUGACCGGCCACACUGGGACUGAGAUACGGCCCAGACUCCUACGGGAGGCAGCAGUGGGGAAUAUUGCACAAUGGGCGCAAGCCUGAUGCAGCGACGCCGCGUGAGGGAUGACGGCCUUCGGGUUGUAAACCUCUUUCAAUAGGGACGAAGCGCAAGUGACGGUACCUAUAGAAGAAGGACCGGCCAACUACGUGCCAGCCGCCGCCGUAA
RNAcentral lists this ribosomal RNA (480 nucleotides) under uncultured bacterium. RNAcentral describes it as "partial 16S ribosomal RNA". It matches the Rfam family "Bacterial small subunit ribosomal RNA", at positions 28 to 523 of the family's 1533-position model. The record is from RNAcentral.